RNAcentral lists this ribosomal RNA (735 nucleotides) under uncultured bacterium. RNAcentral describes it as "bacterial SSU rRNA". It matches the Rfam family "Bacterial small subunit ribosomal RNA", at positions 111 to 823 of the family's 1533-position model. The record is from RNAcentral.
AAACGNGNGGGCAACCUGCCCUCCAGUUGGGGACAACAUUCCGAAAGGGAUGCUAAUACCGAAUGUGCUCCCUCCUCCGCAUGGAGGAGGGAGGAAAGAUGGCCUCUGCUUGCAAGCUAUCGCUGGAAGAUGGGCCCGCGUCUGAUUAGCUAGUUGGUGGGGUAACGGCUCACCAAGGCGAUGAUCAGUAGCCGGUCUGAGAGGAUGAACGGCCACAUUGGGACUGAGACACGGCCCAAACUCCUACGGGAGGCAGCAGUGGGGAAUCUUCCGCAAUGGACGAAAGUCUGACGGAGCAACGCCGCGUGAGUGAUGAAGGUCUUCGGAUUGUAAAACUCUGUUGUUNGGGACGNAAGCACCGUGUUCGAACAGGUCAUGGUGUUGACGGUACCUAACGAGGAAGCCACGGCUAACUACGUGCCAGCAGCCGCGGUAAUACGUAGGUGGCAAGCGUUGUCCGGAAUUAUUGGGCGUAAAGAGCAUGUAGGCGGGCUUUUAAGUCUGACGUGAAAAUGCGGGGCUUAACCCCGUAUGGCGUUGGAUACUGGAAGUCUUGAGUGCAGGAGAGGAAAGGGGAAUUCCCAGUGUAGCGGUGAAAUGCGUAGAUAUUGGGAGGAACACCAGUGGCGAAGGCGCCUUUCUGGACUGUGUCUGACGCUGAGAUGCGAAAGCCAGGGUAGCAAACGGGAUUAGAUACCCCGGUAGUCCUGGCCGUAAACGAUGGAUACUAGGUGU